CAAUUGCAUUACUAUUAAGUACUUGCAUAAGUAACAUUAUGCAAUUGCAUGAUGACGAAUGUGCAAUUGCUUAUGUAAUCCUUGUUGCUUUUUAAUGUUUGAUCACUUUUAUCGUUUUUUUUCACUGUUUUCUAUCUAUUACACUUUGUAUGCUUUAGGUUUUUCUUGUUUAUGUUUCCUGACUUUUGUAUAAGCCUUAGUUUUACAGUUUGUCUAAUCUCUUUGAUAUUCUUUCUAUUUUGUGUAAGAUCUCUAAUUUGAUGUCAAGAAAUGAUUUUUCAUUCUCUGUUUGACAUAGAGGCUGGACCAAACUAUUGGUUAAGGCUCUGUUUUAGGGUAAUUUUGCUUAAUGGUCAUAUAAGGAUAUCUUUCCAAUUUGAAUAUAUUUUAGGGGAGUUUAGUUCAAUAAAUUUGUUUUAUUAAAAUACCUCUCUCGUUGAAUCUAAUUUUCAUUGGAUCAUGGCAUAGUGUUGUUUUUCAUAAUAAUCAUAUUCGUGUAAUAAUUAUAUCCAUCAAAUAUGUUCUUGAUGUUAGAGUAAUACAUAUGAUUGAAUUUUUUAUAUUAAAGUAAUACAUAGGAUUCACAUUCUAUAUUGCAUUUUGUAACACAAUUGAGAAUAAUUAUUUUUAUUUUAUGUUUUAUGUAGGUAUUCAAUGUGUUUCCUAUUGGAUGAGAUUGAUCUUUAUAUUCUAUAUUUUACGUUGUAACCUAUAAUGUUUUGAAUGUUGUAAAGAAGGAUGGGUGAAGCCCACAUAGCCAAUUAACAUUUAAGUUCAACACCAAACCAAACCACACACCCAUCAAACCAAAUCAAACACCUACCAAACCAAAUCACACACCCACCAAACCAAGUCAUUUGCUUUGCCUAUAAAUAAGCAUUAUAUUUGCUUGUAAUGAUAUAUGAAAAGAGAGAAGAGGAAGAGAAGGAAGAAAUAGGAUGAGUGAGUGAAGAGAAAGAAAGUAGGAGAAAUUCUAUCAGUGUAAACACCACAAAGAGAAAUAUAAUUCCACUCCCAAUAUUACAGUGGUACUUCUCAUCCUCUUAUUAUUCUAGUUUUAUAACAUGUUGUCAGCACGAUAAGUCUCUCCUUUUAUUUCUGAAAUUUUUCCAACUCAACAUUAUGUGGUUAUUUCUCUGUCUCCUCUCUGUCAUAUGUCUACUCUCACUUUACUACUACAACGACAUGUAAACUUUCUUUUUUGUGUUCUCACAAUUUCUAUGUUGUUUAAUUCAUGCUUGUUUAAUUUAUUUCUUUGUAACACAAAUUAUUGUAAUAAAAUGAUGGUGUGAUCUUAAAACCCAUUUAUUAUAUCUUGAAUAGUGG
Molecule: long non-coding RNA, 1326 nt
Filed under: Prunus dulcis (almond)
Lineage: Eukaryota; Viridiplantae; Streptophyta; Magnoliopsida; Rosales; Rosaceae
Description: sRNA ncRNA
Source: RNAcentral